GUGCUCACUUCGGCAGCACAUGAUACAGAGAAGAUUAGCAUGGCCCCUGUGCAAAGAUGACACACAAAUUUGUGAAGCAUCCCAUAUUUUU
RNAcentral lists this small nuclear RNA (91 nucleotides) under Neogale vison (American mink). Lineage: Eukaryota; Metazoa; Chordata; Mammalia; Carnivora; Mustelidae. The record is from RNAcentral.